Molecule: long non-coding RNA, 437 nt
Organism: Asterias rubens (European starfish)
Lineage: Eukaryota; Metazoa; Echinodermata; Asteroidea; Forcipulatida; Asteriidae
Exons: 4
Source: RefSeq, a predicted model, not a curated record
UGAUGCUCUAUUCAACCUGAUUUUGAUGAGUUUGGCUUCUUGUGUCACCUGCCUCGCCAUGAAGGAUGCUAUUCAGCUGUAGAAGUAAUUUGGUGACAUGGAGCGUUAUGGACCAGUUACUGAGAUGAUGCCAUUCACCCAAGGAGUUGGUGCCUUUGAUGAGACUAUGAUGUGUGGGAUGUAGGCAUUCUGCUGUGAUCCUUGAAGGAGUUUGAUACAAGAUGCAUAAAGGAGCUGGGAUGAUUUCAUUUUUCUAAGGAGGUGGUGUGCUCUGGGACCCUGAUGUUGAUGAGUCUUCAUUCUUGUGGCACAUGAUAAAUGUACUUUGAUCUAUAAAGAGAUUCCAAGUUGCAAGAUCAUCUCCCAGAAGAUGAACAGAGUGCCGUCUUGAUCUUCUCAGUUGCUUACCGCUGCUCAAGGACAAACCUGGACCCAAU